AGUGAACGCUGGCGGUAGGCCUAACACAUGCAAGUCGAACGGCAGCACAGGAGAGCUUGCUCUCUGGGUGGCGAGUGGCGGACGGGUGAGGAAUACAUCGGAAUCUACUCUGUCGUGGGGGAUAACGUAGGGAAACUUACGCUAAUACCGCAUACGACCUACGGGUGAAAGCAGGGGACCUUCGGGCCUUGCGCGAUUGAAUGAGCCGAUGUCGGCUUAGCUAGUUGGCGGGGCAAAGGCCCACCAAGGCCACGAUCCGUAGCUGGUCUGAGAGAAUGAUCCGCCACACUGGAACUGAGACACGGUCCAGACUCCUACGGGAGGCAGCAGUGGGGAAUAUUGGACAAUGGGCGCAAGCCUGAUCCAGCCAUACCGCGUGGGUGAAGAAGGCCUUCGGGUUGUAAAGCCCUUUUGUUGGGAAAGAAAUCCAGCUGGCUAAUACCCGGUUGGGAUGACGGUACCCAAAGAAUAAGCACCGGCUAACUUCGUGCCAGCAGCCGCCGCCG
RNAcentral lists this ribosomal RNA (506 nucleotides) under uncultured bacterium. RNAcentral describes it as "partial 16S ribosomal RNA". It matches the Rfam family "Bacterial small subunit ribosomal RNA", at positions 29 to 523 of the family's 1533-position model. The record is from RNAcentral.